Molecule: ribosomal RNA, 484 nt
Filed under: uncultured bacterium
Lineage: Bacteria
Description: partial 16S ribosomal RNA
Rfam family: Bacterial small subunit ribosomal RNA
Source: RNAcentral
AUUGAACGCUGGCGGCAUGCCUUACACAUGCAAGUCGAGCGGCAGCGCGGGCUUCGGCCUGGCGGGGAGUGGCGAACGGGUGGGUAAUGCAUAGGAGCGUGCCCUGUCGUGGGGGAUGGGACGGCGAAAGCCGAAUUGAUCUAGCAUACGACGAGAGGGUGAAACGGAGGGCUCGAAAGGGCAUGAGCUCUUGGCGGGGCCGAUGUCGGAUUAGCUAGUUGGUAGGGUAAAGGCUUACCAAGGCGACGAUCCGUAGCUGGUCUGAGAGGACGACCAGUCACACUGGAACUGAGACACGGCCCAGACUCCUACGGGAGGCAGCAGUGGGGAAUAUUGGACAAUGGGCGCAAGCCUGAUCCAGCCAUGCCGCGUGCGUGAAGAAGGCCUUCGGGUUGUAAACCGCUUUUGUUCGGGAAGAAGGCCUGUGGCCUAAUACGUCGGGGGAUUGACGGUACCGGAAGAAUAAGCACCGGCUAACUACGUG